ACCGCCGUAGCUCAGUGGUAAAGCAUCGGACGUACUAUUAGAAGGCCGCAGGUUCGAUCCCUGCCGGCGGCA
RNAcentral lists this transfer RNA (72 nucleotides) under Rhipicephalus sanguineus (brown dog tick). RNAcentral describes it as "transfer RNA valine (anticodon UAC)". It matches the Rfam family "tRNA". From Rfam's summary of the family: Transfer RNA (tRNA) molecules are approximately 80 nucleotides in length. Their secondary structure includes four short double-helical elements and three loops (D, anti-codon, and T loops). The record is from Rfam by way of RNAcentral. Lineage: Eukaryota; Metazoa; Arthropoda; Arachnida; Ixodida; Ixodidae.